CAUCUAGGCGGGGAAUUAAGUUAGGUGUGAAAUCUACGGGCUCAACCCGUAAAUUGCACUUAAAACUGGUUCUCUUGAGUUCGGGAGAGGAGAGCGGAAUUCCUGGUGUAGCGGUGAAAUGCGUAGAUAUCAGGAAGAACACCAGUGGCGAAGGCGGCUCUCUGGCCUAGAACUGACGCUGAAGUGCGAAAGCGUGGGGAGCGAACG
Molecule: ribosomal RNA, 207 nt
Filed under: uncultured bacterium
Lineage: Bacteria
Description: partial 16S ribosomal RNA
Rfam family: Bacterial small subunit ribosomal RNA
Source: RNAcentral